GAUGAACGCUAGCGACAGGCUUAACACAUGCAAGUCGAGGGGCAACAGGGUGUAGCAAUACGCUGAUGGCGACCGGCGCACGGGUGCGUAACGCGUAUGGAACCUACCCACCGCAGGGGGAUAACCCGCCGAAAGGCGGACUAAUACCCCAUGGUUCCCCGACCCUGCCUGGGGUUGGGGGUAAAGCCUACGGGCGGCGGUGGAUGGCCCUGCGUGCCAUUAGCUGGCUGGUGGGGUAACGGCCCACCAGGGCGACGAUGGCUAGGGGGUCUGAGAGGACGAUCCCCCACACUGGUACUGAGACACGGACCAGACUCCUACGGGAGGCAGCAGUGAGGAAUAUUGGUCAAUGGGCGAAAGCCUGAUGCAGCAACGCCGCGUGAGGGAAGACGGUUUUCGGAUUGUAAACCUCUGUCCUUGGUGAAGAACAAAUGACGGUAGCCGAGGAGGAAGCCACGGCUAACUACGUG
Molecule: ribosomal RNA, 470 nt
Filed under: uncultured bacterium
Lineage: Bacteria
Description: bacterial SSU rRNA
Rfam family: Bacterial small subunit ribosomal RNA
Source: RNAcentral